This is a non-coding RNA of Carlito syrichta (Philippine tarsier), 69 nucleotides long. The record is from Ensembl. Lineage: Eukaryota; Metazoa; Chordata; Mammalia; Primates; Tarsiidae.
GUUCUUGUAGUUGAAUAACAACGGUGAUUUUUCGGGUCAUUAGUCGUGGUUUAAGUCCAUGUGGGAACU